AGUGUGCUACACCACUGAAGAAAAAUUAUUCUGUGUCCUUCAGUGGCCACCUGUCACCAAUAGCUCCUCAGGCAGGGAUCCGGACUUGUGGAGAUGAAGUUUACACCAUACCAGGACAGGCCUACAGCAUUCAGAACCCAGGACUCCUACUCCCUCACUAUUGGCAGUCUUUGUAUUCAAGAGCCUGGACAGACACCAGUGGAUAGAUGUGGAGUCUGGGAUGUGAGAGAUGAGAGUGACGCUGAACUUCCUUGAUGGCGUCCUAGUUGAUGAAGGUUGCUCACAAACUUCCCUCACCCUAGUCUUAGGAAGAGAUCACAAACCCCAUCAUCUGGAUGAAGAAAAUCCAAACAGCAACAGGGCAGAAGCCAUAACGAUGAUGUGACGUCCAUGGCAAUGGUGAUGAUGUCAGCGGCAGCCAUGGCAACCACAGCUAAUAUCCAGUGGGAGUUCUGGAGCACACAUCUCCUUGUCUGAAUGAAAUAUACCCAAAAUAAUGGACGCUACAAAUUUUUUCACUAUGAUAAAUGGACUUGGGCAGGCAUGUCUAUGUGCUACAAGAAAUCAGAUCUUUGUUUUAAGAUUUCAGUUAUACCUAAGAUGAGAGAUGACAUGAUGGUGUUUUUGAUAGAAAACCCAAUCCUGCCAGGAUGGCAGUCCUGCUCAGAGAAAUCUACAGAAUCAAAGGAACCUCCA
This is a long non-coding RNA of Mus caroli (Ryukyu mouse), 696 nucleotides long. RefSeq lists it as uncharacterized. NCBI's taxonomy places the organism in Eukaryota, Metazoa, Chordata, Mammalia, Rodentia, Muridae. The record is from RefSeq and is a predicted model, not a curated record.